AACGAACGCUGGCGGCAGGCCUCAAACAUGCAAGUCUAGGGGGUGUAGCAAUACAUCACCGGCGGACGGGUGCGUAACACGUGGGAAUAUACCUUUUGGUUCGGAACAACGCAGGGAAACUUGCGCUAAUACCGAAUGUGCCCUUACGGGGAAAGAUUUAUCGCCAAAGGAUUAGCCCGCGUAGGAUUAGCUAGUUGGUGAGGUAAUGGCUCACCAAGGCUCCGAUCCUUAGCUGUUCUGAGAGGAAGAUCAGCCACACUGGGACUGAGACACGGCCCAGACUCCUACGGGUGGCUG
Molecule: ribosomal RNA, 297 nt
Filed under: uncultured Pseudomonadota bacterium
Lineage: Bacteria; Pseudomonadati; Pseudomonadota
Description: uncultured proteobacterium partial 16S ribosomal RNA
Rfam family: Bacterial small subunit ribosomal RNA
Source: RNAcentral